AGCUCCCCCAGCGUAUCUUCCCGUUUUUGCGUUUCCCCCUCUCUUCGUUGGCUCUCUUCCCUCCUUUUCCUUUUCUCUCCCUAUCUUUACUGGCCCAUUUGCUUGUGUGAUUGGCGGAGGUUUCGGGGUGCUCUUUACUGAGUGUCCCGGGGCGCCGUCAGGUUUACUUUGAAAAAAUUAGAGUGCUCAAAGCAAGCUUUUCACGCUUGAAUAUUCGUGCAUGGAAUAAUAGAAUAGGAACUCGUUUCUAUUUUGUUGGUUUUCGGAAAUCGAGUUAAUGAUUAAUAGGGACAAUUGGGGGCAUUAGUAUUCAGGCGACAGAGGUGAAAUUCUUGGACCGUCUGAAGACUAACUACUGCGAAAGCAUUUGCCAAGAGUGUUUUCA
RNAcentral lists this ribosomal RNA (385 nucleotides) under marine copepod environmental sample. RNAcentral describes it as "SSU rRNA". It matches the Rfam family "Eukaryotic small subunit ribosomal RNA", at positions 587 to 972 of the family's 1831-position model. The record is from RNAcentral. Lineage: Eukaryota; Metazoa; Arthropoda; Copepoda.